GAUGAAGAACGUAGCGAAAUGCGAUACGUAAUGUGAAUUGCAAAUUCAGUGAAUCAUCGAGUCUUUGAACGCACAUUGCGCCCCCUGGUAUUCCGGGGGGCAUGCCUGUCCGAGCGUCAUUGCCGCCCUCAAGCACGGCUUGUGUGUUGGGCCCCGUCCUCCGAUCCCGGGGGACGGGCCCGAAAGGCAGCGGCGGCACCGCGUCCGGUCCUCGAGCGUAUGGGGCUUUGUCACCCGCUCCGUAGGCCCGGCCGGCGCUUGCCGAUCAACCCAAAUUUUUAUCCAGGUUGACCUCGGAUCAGGUAGGGAUACCCGCUGAACUUAAGCAUAUCAAUAAGCGAGGA
Molecule: unclassified non-coding RNA, 344 nt
Filed under: soil metagenome
Description: partial contains 5.8S ribosomal RNA, internal transcribed spacer 2, and large subunit ribosomal RNA
Rfam family: 5.8S ribosomal RNA (bases 1-119)
Source: RNAcentral